Molecule: ribosomal RNA, 305 nt
Filed under: uncultured bacterium
Lineage: Bacteria
Description: bacterial SSU rRNA
Rfam family: Bacterial small subunit ribosomal RNA
Source: RNAcentral
UGAGGCCUACGGGGCGCAGCAGUGGGGAAUAUUGCGCAAUGGGGGCAACCCUGACGCAGCAACGCCGCGUGAUUGAAGAAGGCCUUCGGGUUGUAAAGAUCUUUAAUCGGGGACGAAUUUUGACGGUACCCGAAGAAUAAGCUCCGGCUAACUACGUGCCAGCAGCCGCGGUAAUACGUAGGGAGCAAGCGUUAUCCGGAUUUACUGGGUGUAAAGGGCGUGUAGGCGGGCAUGUAAGCCAGAAGUGAAAUCUGGGGGCUUAACCCCCAAACUGCUUUUGGAACUGCGUGUCUUGAGGGAGGGAG